This 77-nucleotide transfer RNA is filed under the name Myxococcota bacterium. Its description in RNAcentral is "tRNA-Ile". It matches the Rfam family "tRNA". From Rfam's summary of the family: Transfer RNA (tRNA) molecules are approximately 80 nucleotides in length. The record is from RNAcentral. Lineage: Bacteria; Pseudomonadati; Myxococcota.
GGGCCUCUAGCUCAUUUGGUUAGAGCAUUCGACUCAUAAUCGACAGGUACUAGGUUCGAUCCCUAGGAGGCCUACCA